RNAcentral lists this ribosomal RNA (253 nucleotides) under uncultured bacterium. Its description in RNAcentral is "partial 16S ribosomal RNA". It matches the Rfam family "Bacterial small subunit ribosomal RNA", at positions 524 to 776 of the family's 1533-position model. The record is from RNAcentral.
UACAGAGGUCCCAAGCGUUGUUCGGAUUCACUGGGCGUAAAGGGUGCGUAGGUGGUGGGGUAAGUCGGAUGUGAAAGCUCGGAGCUCAACUCCGAAAUGGCAUUGGAAACUACCCUGCUAGAGGGUCGGAGGGGGGACUGGAAUUCUCGGUGUAGUGGUGAAAUGCGUAGAGAUCGGGAGGAACACCGGUGGCGAAGGCGGCCAGCUGGCACUGACCUGACGCUGAGGCGCGAAGGCUUGGGGAGCGAACGGG